Long non-coding RNA from Cornus florida, 898 nucleotides. RefSeq lists it as uncharacterized. The record is from RefSeq and is a predicted model, not a curated record. The transcript has 3 exons. Lineage: Eukaryota; Viridiplantae; Streptophyta; Magnoliopsida; Cornales; Cornaceae.
UCAACACGCAGAUGUUGAAGAGUCAACACGCAGAUGUUGAAGAAACCAAGUUGAUUUCAAAUCGAUGCAUAGACGCAGUUGAGACUCCGAAAAACCGAGUACCCAUUUUGUUUUUUGGGCCGAAAACAGAGUACGAAGACCGACGAGCAAACUUGGUUUCUAUUUGGAAUCUCUCUCUCUCUCUCUCUGACAGACCCAAAUGGCAGCAGUUUCUCAUCUGUUCUUCUGGGUUUUUCUUUGGGUAUCUCGUCAAUGGCAUAUGUGAGGUUUUUUGUUUUGAAAAAGCACAUAAAGACUCAUUUGGAUUGAGCAGUGUCGGAAAAGAAAAGGAUAAUUGCUCUCUCCGGCAACGGGAACAUUCUUGCAAUUGUCUCCGGCAUUGAUGCCAUUGCUCUCUCCGGCGAAGAGAACGAACGCCAUCACGGAUGCCUUUGCUCACUCCGGCGAAGAGAACGCCAUCACGGAGAAGAGAACGCCAUCACAUGCUUUUGCUCGCUCCAGCGAAGAGAACGCCAUCACGGAAAAGAGAACGCCAUCACGGAUGCCUUUGCUCGCUCCGGCGAAGAGAACGGCACUGAGGCUGUUGCUCGCUCCAGCGAAAAGUACGAUCUUGCAGUCGUCGCCGACACUGUUGUGGUUGGUCGCUCCGGCUAAGAGAACGGCCUAAGCAAAGGUUCCGAAGGGUUUAUCGAAGUCGGCGAGUCUUUCGGCGGCCGCGAGAACAACAACCUUCCACCAGUUACCGGCGAGUCCUCCCGCGGUGGCGAGGAUGAACAUCUGGUUAUAUUAUAAUAUAUUUUUAUAUUUAUUUUUUUCUUUUCGUCAGAAUUCUUAUUUUAUUUUCAUUUCUUGUCCACAAUUUGUGACUCUUUUGUAAAUAUAGUUAAGGCUUCUAAUA